UAAAGGUCCGAUCUGAGAUGAGA
Molecule: microRNA, 23 nt
Filed under: Pristionchus pacificus
Lineage: Eukaryota; Metazoa; Nematoda; Chromadorea; Rhabditida; Neodiplogasteridae
Description: ppc-miR-8278-3p
Source: miRBase by way of RNAcentral